GCUUAUGAUUUUGGAUGAGAUUCAUUUACUUGGAGCUGAUCGAGGACCCAUACUUGAGGUUAUUGUCUCAAGGAUGAGAUAUAUAUCUUCUCAAACAGAGCGGCCAGUUCGGUUUGUUGGCCUGUCAACAGCAUUAGCAAAUGCACACAAUUUGGCUGAUUGGUUGGGUGUCGAUGAAACUGGCCUCUUCAAUUUCAAGCCAAGUGUGAGGCCUGUUCCUCUUGAAGUUCAUAUUCAGGGAUAUCCUGGAAAGUUUUACUGCCCGAGGAUGAAUAGUAUGAACAAGCCCACAUAUGCUGCUAUAUGUACACAUUCACCAACAAAACCAGUUCUAAUCUUUGUCUCCUCUCGUCGCCAAACGAGGCUUACAGCACUGGACCUUAUCCAGUUUGCGGCUUCAGAUGAGCACCCAAGGCAGUUCAUAAGCAUGCCAGAAGAUUCACUUCAAAUGGUUCUUUCUCAAGUCACAGACCAGAACUUGAAGCACACUUUACAAUUUGGAAUUGGAUUACACCAUGCCGGGCUGAAUGAUAAAGACAGAUCAUUGGUUGAGGAACUGUUUGCAAACAACAAGAUCCAGGUG
Molecule: unclassified non-coding RNA, 583 nt
Filed under: Hevea brasiliensis (rubber tree)
Lineage: Eukaryota; Viridiplantae; Streptophyta; Magnoliopsida; Malpighiales; Euphorbiaceae
Source: RNAcentral